ACAACACAACACGAGCUCUUAGAUUCAGAGAACAACAUUAACACACACAAACAGUUCGCACUUUAAGGAUCUCCCUCCCAUUUACUAGCUCUCUCAACUAUUCUAUUCUUAACCAACUCUCUCUCUCUCUGACUUUUCACUUUCUCUUACAUUAAUUUUCCUACUUACAUUUUUUUUUGUUCCUCAGAAACAACAACAUGGUCUCUGGUCCAACAACAACAACACUUUCUCUUUCUUCUUCUUCAUCUUCUUUUUUGUUUAGUUUUAAUUCCCUGAAAUUUUCACAGCGAGCUAGGUUGAAGUUUAUAGACAACGUGAACGAAAGAAAAUUCACGUUCGCGCCUUUGAAAUGCAUUCGCAUAUCGGGUUUCGAUUCGUGUUCCGCCUUGACGGCGACGGAAGCCCCGCUAGCUCAGUCGACGGAGCUCGUGUCCGACAAGCUCCACCGCCUGGCGACGGAGUUCAGGGCCCUGCACGAGCCAAUCGACCGGGUGAAGCGGCUGCUGCACUACGCGGCGAUUCUUCCUCCGGCGGACGAGUCGAGUACUCGGGCGCCGGAGAACCGGGUCACGGGGUGCACGACCCAGGUGUGGGUGGAGGCCGAGUUGGACGAGUCGGGUCGGGUUCGGUUCAGGGCCGACAGCGACUCGGAGAUUUCCAAAGGGUUCUGCUCGUGCUUGAUUUACGUGCUGGACGGUGCGGAUCCGGAGGAGGUGGCCAUGGUCAAGGUCGACGACUUGUCGGAUUUGAACGUUGGCUUGCACGGCAAGUCGCAUUCUAGAGUCAACACGUGGCACAAUGUGCUCGUGGCUAUGCUGAAGAGGACCGAGGCUUUGCUCCCACAACAACCUCAGAGUUGCAAGGGGUAUUAAGUAUUAACAACUGCGGAGAAGAUUUGGCCUCGUAUCUAGACAUCUGAGUCAUUGAUUAUGGCAGAUACCACAAGAUGGCAAAAGCUGGAUGCCAAUUUAUCACGGUCUUAAGUGUGGAUUUUAUUUGGGAAAACGUGUGUGCGAUCCUUGAUUAAGCUGGAUUUGGGAAGGGAUUCCUAUAGUAUAAAUUUAAACAUACUUUAUGGACCUGAUCCCUACAUGACUGCAAUAUUACCAAGUUGUUUCAGCGGAUGGCUAUAAUGGGAAAUGAAAAGGUUGCUGAGAUAUAUCCAGGACACCACGAGAGACUUCGAUAGUAUCACUGUUGCCUUGCAUGCACUAUUAUCAUGUAACUCUUUAGUUGCUUUAGGGUUUUUUUUCUUUUCUUUUCUUUUUUUGGGUAUAACUACUUUUUAAGAUAUGUCGUAUGGAUUAAACGUGGCUUUUGGAUUUUAUAUCAUGUCAAUUUUGUUUACUUUCUAGUUGUAUCUUGUAUUUAAUAAAAGGAAUGUUCUGUAAAAAGUUUCUUUUACUGGAACUUAUGACCUAUCCUCCUUCAACUU
Molecule: RNA transcript, 1435 nt
Organism: Quercus robur (English oak)
Lineage: Eukaryota; Viridiplantae; Streptophyta; Magnoliopsida; Fagales; Fagaceae
Gene name: sufE-like protein 2, chloroplastic
Exons: 3
Source: RefSeq, a predicted model, not a curated record